AACAAAAAAAAAAUAGACAGGUUAACCCAAAAUUAACUGGGUUAACUCGUGAAACCAAGUUAACCCGUGAAACUUAGAAUAUAUGUCAUGAAAGUCUGAUAACUAAAUA
Molecule: long non-coding RNA, 109 nt
Organism: Populus euphratica (Euphrates poplar)
Lineage: Eukaryota; Viridiplantae; Streptophyta; Magnoliopsida; Malpighiales; Salicaceae
Exons: 2
Source: RefSeq, a predicted model, not a curated record